Molecule: small nuclear RNA, 109 nt
Organism: Octopus sinensis (East Asian common octopus)
Lineage: Eukaryota; Metazoa; Mollusca; Cephalopoda; Octopoda; Octopodidae
Source: RefSeq, a predicted model, not a curated record
UUUUUUAGUUACCUAGAAAUUAUGUUAAAAACUGCCGUUCAAACCGAAAAGAUUAGCAUGACCCCAGAGCAAAGAUGACACACAAAUUUGUGCAGUGUUCCAUAUUCUU